UGCCAGCCGCCGCGGUAAUACGGAGAGUGCAAGCGUUGUUCGGAAUUAUUGGGCGUAAAGGGCGUGUAGGCGGCCUGCUAAGUCUGGUGUGAAAGCCCUCGGCUUAACCGAGGAAGUGCACUGGAAACUGGCGAGCUUGAGUACGGAAGAGGGAAGCGGAAUUCCCGGUGUAGAGGUGAAAUUCGUAGAUAUCGGGAGGAACAUCAGUGGCGAAGGCGGCUUCCUGGUCCGAUACUGACGCUGAGGCGCGAAAGCGUGGGGAGCAAACAGGAUUAGAUA
RNAcentral lists this ribosomal RNA (279 nucleotides) under uncultured bacterium. Its description in RNAcentral is "partial 16S ribosomal RNA". It matches the Rfam family "Bacterial small subunit ribosomal RNA", at positions 506 to 784 of the family's 1533-position model. The record is from RNAcentral.